Molecule: ribosomal RNA, 253 nt
Filed under: uncultured bacterium
Lineage: Bacteria
Description: partial 16S ribosomal RNA
Rfam family: Bacterial small subunit ribosomal RNA
Source: RNAcentral
UACGUAGGGGGCAAGCGUUAUCCGGAAUUACUGGGUGUAAAGGGUGCGUAGGCGGUAAUGUAAGUCAGGUGUGAAAGCCCGAAGCUCAACUUCGGGAUUGCACUUGAAACUACAUAACUAGAGUAUAGGAGAGGUGAGUGGAAUUCCUAGUGUAGCGGUGAAAUGCGUAGAUAUUAGGAGGAACACCAGUGGCGAAGGCGACUCACUGGACUAUAACUGACGCUGAGGCGCGAAAGCGUGGGGAGCAAACAGG